RNAcentral lists this ribosomal RNA (478 nucleotides) under uncultured bacterium. Its description in RNAcentral is "partial 16S ribosomal RNA". It matches the Rfam family "Bacterial small subunit ribosomal RNA", at positions 28 to 507 of the family's 1533-position model. The record is from RNAcentral.
GAUGAACGCUGGCGGCGUGCUUAACACAUGCAAGUCGAACGGGAAUUCUUUUAUUGAAACUUCGGUCGAUUUAAUUUAAUUCUAGUGGCGGACGGGUGAGUAACGCGUGGGUAACCUGCCUUAUACAGGGGGAUAACAGUCAGAAAUGGCUGCUAAUACCGCAUAAGCGCACAGAGCUGCAUGGCUCAGUGUGAAAAACUCCGGUGGUAUAAGAUGGACCCGCGUUGGAUUAGCUUGUUGGCAGGGUAACGGCCUACCAAGGCGACGAUCCAUAGCCGGCCUGAGAGGGUGAACGGCCACAUUGGGACUGAGACACGGCCCAGACUCCUACGGGAGGCAGCAGUGGGGAAUAUUGCACAAUGGGGGAAACCCUGAUGCAGCGACGCCGCGUGAAGGAAGAAGUAUCUCGGUAUGUAAACUUCUAUAAGCAGGGAAGAUAGUGACGGUACCUGACGAAGAAGCCCCGGCUAACUACGUG